This 636-nucleotide long non-coding RNA is filed under the name Anas platyrhynchos platyrhynchos (common mallard). Its description in RNAcentral is "lncRNA (ENSAPLG00000028626.1)". The record is from RNAcentral. Lineage: Eukaryota; Metazoa; Chordata; Aves; Anseriformes; Anatidae.
CAAAAACUAAUCAUCACAUCUGCUUAUUACUUCAGAACAAUGACGUCCUCACCAAUUUUCUCAGGGUCUUCCUAGAAGUGAUUGGGUUUCUCUCACCUCUCAACUCUUACUGGAGUCAACUAUAUCAACAGUGACUGUGGAAGGUCUCCCCAGUGCAUUUGGAUUUAGCAGUUCACAGGAGUUCUGCAUAUGAAAUGAUUCAGAAGAAAUAUCUAUCUAUCUAUCUAUAUACAUAAAUAGUUAAUGCUUCAAUACACCGGAAGUAGACCAAAAAAAAUAUAAUCCUUUGAGUUUGUUGUUUAAGUAGUUGUAUUUGUAUGUGGGUGGCAGAGAGAAGAGAGUGAUAAAUUUACCCUGACUACUGUGUGCUAGUCCUCAGUUCUCUAGAAGUGAAGAGAGAGAUGAGAUGAAAGAAACACUCACAAAAGAUCAGGCACAUCUCUACAGAGGAAGAGGCUGUUCUAAAAUUUAAGAAGGUGAGAACUGUAGAAAAGAGAUUCUACUUUCAAGCUUUGGAAGGCUUCAGGUCUUUGUACAACAAUAGUGUAGCAUUUCCCUGUAAAAUGCCAUUAGAAUUAUAGGUUAAUGUUUUUACAAUUAAUUCUGUCACACAGCUUUGUAUACAAGUUUCCUUUA